AAUUACCCACUCCCAGCACGGGGAGGUAGUGACGAAAAAUAACGAUACGGGACUCAUCCGAGGCCCCGUAAUCGGAAUGAGUACACUUUAAAACUUUUCCCGAGGAUCAAUUGGAGGGUAAGUCUGGUGCCAGCAGCCGCGGUAAUUCCAGCUCCAAUAGCGUAUAUUAAAGUUGUUGCGGUUAAAAAGCUCGUAGUCGAAUCUGUGUCCCGCGCCGCUGGUUCAUCGCUCGCGGUGUUCAACUGGCGUGUCUCGCGGGACGUCCUGCCGGUGGGCGCUCGUCCGUUUCGGCGGUCGUGGCCCAACUCGCUUCCGUCUCGCGCGGUUGUGAAUCCCAUCGCGGUGCUCUUUAUUGAGUGUCGAGGUGGGCCGGCACGUUUACUUUGAACAAAUUAGAGUGCUUAAAGCAGGCCAAUUUUGCCUGAAUAUUGUGUGCAUGGAAUAAUGGAAUAGGACCUCGGUUCUAUUUUGUUGGUUUUCGGAACCCCGAGGUAAUGAUUAAUAGGAACGGAUGGGGGCAUUCGUAUUGCGACGUUAGAGGUGAAAUUCUUGGAUCGUCGCAAGACGGACAGAAGCGAAAGCAUUUGCCAAAAACGCUUUCAUUGAUCAAGAACGAAAGUUAGAGGUUCGAAGGCGAUCAGAUACCGCCCUAGUUCUAACCAUAAACGAUGCCAGCUAGCGAUCCGCCGACGUUCCUCCGAUGACUCGGCGGGCAGCUUCCGGGAAACCAAAGCUUUUGGGUUCCGGGGGAAGUAUGGUUGCAAAGCUGAAACUUAAAGGAAUUGACGGAAGGGCACCACCAGGAGUGGAGCCUGCGGCUUAAUUUGACUCAACACGGGACACCUCACCAGGCCCGGACACCGGAAGGAUUGACAGAUUGAGAGCUCUUUCUUGAUUCGGUGGGUGGUGGUGCAUGGCCGUUCUUAG
This 927-nucleotide ribosomal RNA is filed under the name Mocyta scopula. Its description in RNAcentral is "SSU rRNA". It matches the Rfam family "Eukaryotic small subunit ribosomal RNA", at positions 439 to 1297 of the family's 1831-position model. The record is from RNAcentral. Lineage: Eukaryota; Metazoa; Arthropoda; Insecta; Coleoptera; Staphylinidae.